UCAAACUUGGUCAUUUAGAGGAAGUAAAAGUCGUAACAAGGUUUCCGUAGGUGAACCUGCGGAAGGAUCAUUAUCGUAUCUCCGAGGAGGGGUCCGGUUGGGCCCUGCUCCGGCCCACUAGGCCGUGCAGCGGGUCUCCCGUUCCCUGACUCAACCUAAAAAAAAAACCCCUGUGAACCUUCACGGCCAGAGGGUGCCGCCGGCGAAAGCUUGCGUGCGCCUGAAGCCGCAUCAUAUAAACCCCUGUUCAAAAGAAUGUCUAGCGGACUCUGUUCCGUCUACAAUUGAAACAACUUUCAACAACGGAUCUCUUGGCUCUCGCAUCGAUGAAGAACGCAGC
Molecule: unclassified non-coding RNA, 340 nt
Filed under: uncultured fungus
Lineage: Eukaryota; Fungi
Description: partial contains small subunit ribosomal RNA, internal transcribed spacer 1, and 5.8S ribosomal RNA
Rfam family: Eukaryotic small subunit ribosomal RNA (bases 1-73)
Source: RNAcentral